CUCGUGCCCAUUUUAGUUCGGUCCACUCGGAUCACCUUGGCUCCAAAGUCUGCCAGGAUCAUGCCACAGAACGGUGCCGGAACCAGGCCGGCCAGCUCAACAACUUUCAGUCCAGCCAGUGCCAUGAUGAAAGAACUUUGUUACACCCUCACCUGGACGAGACAGACCACCUCCUUCCAGGGGAAUACUGUGUUCUUUGUAAUCAAAGGAGAAGUGACCCUCGACCACACUUGGCUGCAACACAGGACCUGAACAUCCGAUACAACGUUGCCAGACUGCACAUUCUCCAUGUGUCGGCUGAACCUUAAUAUCCUUUCCACCAAUAUCACAAACAGGAUGCAGGAUGAAGAGCUGACUGAAAGUAAUGACCGCUUUCAGACUUAGACAAAUAAGUUAAUGAUAAAACACUGUAAAACUGAAAUUAAACUAGUCAGAUUGGAGCUUGUAAACCAUGUUGGGCUCAAUGGUUGAUGUGCACAUUUAAAAAAUAUACCUAAACAAUUACAGAAGUC
Molecule: long non-coding RNA, 512 nt
Organism: Centropristis striata (black sea bass)
Lineage: Eukaryota; Metazoa; Chordata; Actinopteri; Perciformes; Serranidae
Exons: 2
Source: RefSeq, a predicted model, not a curated record